This 418-nucleotide long non-coding RNA is filed under the name Selaginella moellendorffii. RNAcentral describes it as "long non-coding RNA (SMOE_LNC000549)". The record is from RNAcentral. Lineage: Eukaryota; Viridiplantae; Streptophyta; Lycopodiopsida; Selaginellales; Selaginellaceae.
GAUCCUCUCCACUUGCGUUGAACUUCAAAAGGUCUUCCUGUCCAGCAACAAUCUCUCUCAGAUCUUUUUCCCCGGCUGCAAAAACCUGAUUAGUAUCAACAUCUCGUUCAACCAGAUAUCGGGAGAGUUAUUCGCUCCCGAAAGCAGAUGUACCUCACUGAAAGUUCUCGCUAUCGCUCGCAACGCCUUCUCCGGGGAUUUCUUCUCGCUGUUUGGAGCAAGCCAGCGCUCGCACAACUCCAGCUCGAGCAGCUUCUUUCCCGUCGUUGAGAGGAUCGAUGCCGCCUACAACAAAUUCACGGGUGAGGUUCCAGCGCAUAUUGGAGUGCUCACGAGGUACAUGGAUCUCAGCUCCAACAAUCUCACCACCAUAGGAAACCAGCAGCUUUGCAGCUCCAACUCAAGCCUGGAAAGUUUG